This 253-nucleotide ribosomal RNA is filed under the name uncultured bacterium. RNAcentral's name for it is "partial 16S ribosomal RNA". It matches the Rfam family "Bacterial small subunit ribosomal RNA", at positions 524 to 776 of the family's 1533-position model. The record is from RNAcentral.
UACGUAGGGUGCAAGCGUUAAUCGGAAUUACUGGGCGUAAAGCGUGCGCAGGCGGCUUUGCAAGACAGAUGUGAAAUCCCCGGGCUUAACCUGGGAACUGCAUUUGUGACUGCAUGGCUGGAGUGCGGCAGAGGGGGAUGGAAUUCCGCGUGUAGCAGUGAAAUGCGUAGAUAUGCGGAGGAACACCGAUGGCGAAGUCAAUCCCCUGGGCCUGCACUGACGCUCAUGCACGAAAGCGUGGGGAGCAAACAGG